RNAcentral lists this ribosomal RNA (254 nucleotides) under uncultured bacterium. RNAcentral's name for it is "partial 16S ribosomal RNA". It matches the Rfam family "Bacterial small subunit ribosomal RNA", at positions 524 to 776 of the family's 1533-position model. The record is from RNAcentral.
UACGUAGGGGGCAAGCGUUGUCCGGAUUUAUUGGGCGUAAAGAGCGUGUAGGCGGCCGUACAGGUCAGCUGUGAAAACUCGAGGCUCAACCUCGAGACGUCGGUUGAAACCGUACGGCUAGAGUCCGGAAGAGGAGAGUGGAAUUCCCGGUGUAGCGGUGAAAUGCGCAGAUAUCGGGAAGAACACCCGUGGCGAAGGCGGCUCUCUGGGACGGUACUGACGCUGAGACGGCGAAAGCGUGGGGAGCGAACAGG